CAGGUCAACGGAGCCGUGCAUCC
RNAcentral lists this microRNA (23 nucleotides) under Tribolium castaneum (red flour beetle). Its description in RNAcentral is "tca-miR-11620-5p". Lineage: Eukaryota; Metazoa; Arthropoda; Insecta; Coleoptera; Tenebrionidae. The record is from miRBase by way of RNAcentral.